UAAGGUUCCACAGGCAGUAAGGAACCAGAAAUACUGGUUUCUACCAACUGUUGGACUCAGGACUGGUGUGAUGACUGUAAUAGCAGUCUCAAAUCCUUUCUGGAAGGAGGCAGGGUUUAUAAAUAAACAGAAAAGAAAUACAACUGACUCAAACUGAAAUUUGUGGAUCUGGUUUGACGUGGCAGAUGUGUUUAAUAGAGCUUAAGAGAGAGAGAGCUGAGGAUACCCAUUAAAUUACCAAAUGAUUGAAAUUCUUGUUCAACAUUGUCUAAAAGAAUCCCAGUGUUGGAGACUUAUAAUAACCACGUGAUCGAUAAAUGAUUAUGAUGAUGUUCUGCAAAUGAGAGUAUAAAAUCACGGUAAGUGGAGACAGCUAUUGAAUUUUGAAUUUUUUCUUUCAUAGUACUAGGGAUUAAACCUAGGACCUUGAACAUUUAAGUAUUCCACUACUGAGCUACAUUGCAUUUUAAUUCUUUUGUUUUGAGACAGAGUUUCCCUAGGUUGCCCAGGCUGGCCUUGAAUUUUUAAUCUUCUUGCCUCAGGCUCUUGAAUAACUGGGAUUAUGGGCAAAUGCCAUUUCGCCCAGUAACUAUCAAUGUUUUAACAGAACGAAAUAAAAAUAUGCUAGUCAUAAUCAUUAGAAUAUUAAAUAUGCAUGGCAUAUACUUCUAAAUUCUGUUUGUAAUUGUAAAAAUUGUCGCUUCGUUGUUCCUCUCUGUUUAAAACUAAAAUUCUCUUUAAAAAAUAUCCAAGACUCUUUACAAUUUAUCUCCCCUCCUUUAAAAAAUAAUGGAAGUUAUGACUUUUGAGUAAAAGAGUAAAAUACAUUUUUUUCGCAUUUGAAGCAAUUCACAUUUAAAAGAUAUAUACAAAGGUGUACAUAUUUGUGUUUUUAGGGUUUUGGGGGACGAUAAACAAAUCGAUAGCUCUGGGUUCUGGAGUUGGUGCUGUUACUUUCCAGACUGAUAGAGCAGAGGUUGUGGUUUUGUGCACAGCAGCCUGGUUUAUAGGAUUAGGAAUAUAAAAGCUGAUCUGUAGAGAGAAGGAGAGUUUUCUGGAGGCACGUGCAGCUGCCACUUGCACACGCCAGCACAUUAGCCAGUCUGACAGCAGAGCUGACGUCCACUCUCAGCCUUUCACUUUGGGGCAAAGAGAAGCAGAUGCUGCCAUAGGGCCUCCUCAUUCUUCAUUGUACGUAUUGAAGGGUGAGGUCAGGAGUUCCCGUGAUCUUUCCUUUUUCUUGGACCUUUCCUUGUCAAGAUCUUGGGUAAUCAUAAAUCAACCCCUGCAGGUCAUCUGAAUGCCAAAUUUAUUUUAAACAUAAGUAAACUCAAAGAUUGCUGCUCUACCCCUUCCUCACCCCACCCCACCCCUUUUAAUAAGGUGAUAUGUGGAUAAUUGAAGUGGACAAUUUUUCUCUUUGUGUAUUGAAAAGAGUAGUUCCUAUUUCUAGAACAGGUUCCAUAUAAACAAGAAUUGAACGUUGUUUUGCUAUUUCCACUACUUUUAAUAUAGUCUGUUAUUUUAUUUGAUUUAGUCACUUGAGAUUUUAAAACAGUAAAGGCUUGGUUGAGCUUGUACCAAGGAGGCCUGACACUUGGGAAACUAGAAAAAAGAGCACAGUUCAGAUCCAUGUAGCUUUAGAAUCAAAUCACUCAUGUCUAUUGCCUACACCAUAUUCCUUAUACCUCUCAAUACACCAUAUCCCUUACCUUCUCUGGUAUUGUAUAUCAUGCAGGUGCCUUAUUUUGGCUCACCAAAUUUCAGACUUGGUUCUGUGAAUACUCACAGAUAUUAAAAAAGAUAAAUUUUGUCUGCAAUAUUAGUUGUUUCAAAGCAUUACAGCAAUAAUGUAUUUCUAAUUAGAAAACUGGAAUGAUCUAGCAGUGAAAGUCAAUGACAGGAAGUCGACUCACCCAGGUCCUUCUCUGGUCUUGCCAACACAUACAGAGGAACAGACAGAUUAUGAAGUUCCUUUUGGUAGUGUCACAGAAAAGUGAGGAGAAUUUCCAAGCUGGAGCACGAGGUAUUUUCUAGGUGGAGGUAUUAAACAUAGUCACUUCUUAAGUAAUUAUGAUAAAACCCAUGCCUUUUGAGCAACAAGGCCCCCUAGAGCCUUUGAUUGGGUAUUCAAUGUGCUUCCCAACUUGUGCUUUUCUCAUUUGAAGAGGGCUGGAUCUAUUGGUGGGGAUGGCCUCCUCCCUGAAUUUCAGAAGUGCUAAAAUAACAUGCAAAGUCUGGCAGGGUGAUUUUCCACACUCGCCCUGUUUAAAGGAAGAAGCUUGUUCUGCUGUAAACAGUUAUGGGAACUGUUUGCUUUGGAUGGGCUUGGUCCUCAUAGGCUGAGGAGCACUUUCUUACUCUGGUUUCUUGCCAACGCGGAAAUUUGAUGCCAAAGGCAUCCUAGUCCUGUGGAGGUACUCUCUAAUUAGAAUAUGUUUGGCCGGAAGAAAGUGUGUUAGGGAGCAGCAGGAAUUGUGGCAGAGGCUUAAAAAAAAAUAGUAAUUGGGGCCGACCAUUAGCAUGGAGCAGAUCUCAUUGUUGUAUCUUGGGGACAAUAUGUCUUGGAUCUGUUUUGGCCCCUACUGAUUAGGGAGGGCUCUUUCCUGAGACUCUCCUGUGCUUCUGUAGGAAGCUUUUUGAGAUUCUUACCUUCUUUACAUCUACUAAACCAACAGGAUAAACAUUCUGGGUGAUUAUGUCAUGAGCAUGUAUAUAGUUCAGAGGCUCCAAAACAUGAAUGAAAAUGAGCUGGGCAUUGCUGUUGGGAGUAAGUUCUACAUUCCAGUCAUUACAAUAUUUUCAGUAUUCAGAGUGGAUGGUCCAUAGAGUCAUGGUUCUAAGCACAGGCUCAAAAGACAAACCGGCUAGAGUGUGAACCCUUCUACUCACCAUUUGGCAAGUGACCUUGGACCAAUUGCCUAAAUUCUCUAUUUCUCUUUCUUUGACUAGUGGAACUGCACGGGAGAGGUACAAGGGAUAUAAAAGGGGGUUGUUGUAAGAUUUCAAUAAGUUAAUAUAUAUGAGGCACUUAGAAUAACACCUAGUAUCAAGAAGGGCUCAAUAAACCUUAGCUAUUUUUAUUUUUAUUUUCUCCUUAUCUUGAAAUUAUCACUGCUACCAACUGACUUGUCUGAUUUGAGGCUUUUGAUGGGGAAGGAUUUAUAAGAGAAUGAGAAAUGUGUGGAUGUGUCUUCUGUCCACCUUAACACUUAGGUGUGUCUAUAUUUGUGUACGAUUGAAAAAAAGGGGCCAUUAAAUGCUCAAACAUUUAUGACGACUUUCCUCAGAAGUGACCUCUGGCUUUAUGUGAUUAGGCAGGUUGGUUUUACAUUUACUAUCACUUUCUCCUUUUGAUAGUUGGAAUGCAAGCUGUGCUUAUCAAGUUGACUCUUAUCCAGAGGUGGUUGUGUGCCAAUUGCAUAAGAUGACUGACAGUGAUCUAUGGGAACAGUCAUUUCCGCAUGUAAAUUGUGGUUGCCCAAAUCCAUACAUUCUCGUAGGUGUGGGGUGGAACAUAAAAUAUCACAGAGCAAGUGGGAGGUGGGGCGUUUACAAGUAGCAGAUCAUUGUACAACCAUUUCCUAUGUCCAAGCUCCUCUGACCUCAGCUACUUUUUUAAACUGCUGAUCCACAGCUUCUGGUAUGAGCCAUAUCCCUUGGACCUCCCCCGUGUAGUUCCACUGGUGACUCCCUCUUGGAUCCUGGCCGCCUUCUGCCCCACAAUCUUGUAGAUCAUGUUUUCUUCUGUCAAGGGCCUUACAGUCUUUGCUAUUUGUGCCUUUAAUAUGCCAGGCACAUAUUCAUUCAUUUGUUCAUUCAUUCAUUCAUCCUCAGGGUAUUUAUUAAGGCUCACUAUGAUCCAGGCAUUGCCUUAGGCACUGGGGAUACAAAGGUACUGAAAUCCUGGAGAGCAGGAACCAUAUCUUAGAUUCUAGAAGGAAAGAGAAACAGAUCAUGAUGAAGCAAUGUGGUGUGGGGCAGUUAGAAAUAUGGACUUUAAAACUGAAACUUGGGUUUAAAUUCUUGCUCCGUCAUUUACCGGUCCUGUGACGUUGGACAAGUUACUUAACUUCUCUGUGCCUAGUUUAAUUAUUUGCCAAAAGGGUGGUUAUCGCCAUACUGACCUCAUAGGCUUGUUAAAGGAGUUAAUAUUUAGACAUAUGCAGGAGAAUGCCUGAAACAUAGUAAAUUAUAUAUAUGUAUGUGUUAGAUAAAUAGAUAUAACAGUAGAGAUAUACAGAGUUUUAUAAGACCUAGAGUCCAAUUAGCAAGAUCAAACUUUGUUUUCCCUCAGUUCUGUCCCAGGUUUGCAGACUCUUUUAAUUCAGGAAAAUACAAAAAGGAAAAGAAGUUGGUUCAGAGCCAGAGUUUGGUUGUUCCACAUCAUGCAGCCUUAAUGCAGGCCUGCCUGUCUUGAUUUUGUAUCUUAUUUCCAGUAAUGGGUCUUUGGCCUUUUUCUUGGACCAAACUGCUACCUUGUAUCUUCAUAGUGGUAACUGGGACUUUGUCCUUUUUCUUUCAUCCUUAGUCUCUACCUCCAUUUCUGGUCAAGCCCUUAGUUCUCCUGGAGUAGAGGGUCUAUCUUGAUCUUGCUGAUCUGCCCUUGAAAUCUAUUCUACAAACAGGGUUCCAGCUAUCAACCACCAGCCCUCGCUGUCUGAAUUCUUGUGUAUUGCCUACCCUAAGACUCCCAUUGCUGUUCUUCUUCCACCUGUUCAAUCAACCACCUGCCUUUUAUUUUAAUUUUCCUGACACUAUUGCCCUGCCCACCUGUCUGGACUCUUGUAAUUGCCUUUUCCCCAAGUGUCUGCCUGGCCCCCAGGGCAGGUGUUUAGUCUCCGUCUUAUCAUCUCACUGUGGCCUGUUCUGCUACCACUUACUCAAUCUUCCCUACUGACAGAAGGAAGGAGGCCAGGGAGAAGGGCUGAGGCAGACAUUCUCUGUGUUAUUCAUGAAAUGACCUAGUUUAGUUGACUAGUUUAGCUUUUGGUUCAAAGGAAGUUUUGAGUAUGUGUAUUAGAAGUUAGCUGUAAUAAAUAAUUAUGCUUAGUGUGGUUAGGAAGAGUUGCUGUAUAUAAAGUUUGCUACAUGGGGAUUUUCUCUUCUUCUUUUUUUAAAAGUUUUUAGUUGUUGAUGGACACAAUACCUUUAUUUUAUUUAUUUAUUUAUUUUUAUGUGGUGCUGAGGAUCGAAUCCAGGGCCUCACAUGUGCUAGGCAAGCACUCUACCACUGAGCCCCAGCCCAAUUUUCUCUUCUUAAUGCACAAGUUACAAAAAUUCCUUUUCUAAUUUAUUUCCCUGAAUAACCAGUCUUCCCCAACCAGUCAUACGUGUUUCCCCUCUGCUGUUAAAUUACUCUAAGGAAGUCAUAAUAUUGUGGGUCUAUUCUUUUUUAACUUUGGUUUUUUUCUACAUAUCUUUCAUUCUUGGUGUUUGCACGUAGGUUAAAUAUUUCAGGAAGCCAUGGCUUCCCUUUAUGCUUCUCCUGUUCCCAUUUUUGCUUCUAAGAAUUUUCCAAAACUUGAAUGUAGUUUAAAUAUCAGACCAAUGAAUUUCUCUUUCCUUGAACUUAUUUCUGUUGAGCAAGGCCACUUUCUUCCUGAAUAAUAAAAUCCAAUCAUCUUCAUUACAAUUAAUAACGUAAAGCUCCAUUACUGAUGAGGCUGUCAUGAAAGUAAGUCAGUAGUGGAAGGGAAUUAAAGGGCAUAGUAAAAUCCCCUGCUUUUAGCAACACAACCUAAUUUUCUUUAGGCCCCAUGUAGCUGCCUAAUUUUCAUUAGGCACAUGCUGAUUUCUUUUAGUCCCAUGCAUGCAAGAUGAUCUUAUUUUCCCUCCAGUUCUAUUUGGUACUUAGAUUUAAUUGAGAGCUUAAUUAUAAGUGCUGGAAGUCAUCUGCAGAGUAUUUCUCAUUUGUAAAUUAUUUUGUUAUCCAUUUUUAUGGUAUGCAUUUAUUUUCUUGAUUGAAAUAAUUUUCACUUUAAAUGGCAUGUGACAUUUGCAAGGGUUUAAUGCACAUUCACAUGUCAUCUCAGUGUUCAUGACAGCCCUCUGAGGUAGGCAGAACUGUAAUUCUUUCUGUUUUACAGAUGAGGAAAAAAUGGCACAGAGGAAAUUUUAGGAAGAGCAAGAAAAAAAAAUGCAGAGGGCAUCUGAGGGACACACAUACACACACACACACACACACAUCCAAGGACUCCUUUGGGCCAAUAGCUAAGGCCCAGCAAUUCUGAAGUAAGGGGUGUUGCUGAGCUGGGAUAACCAGGGAACUGGACAUAUAGGAGGAGAUUAUUUGCUCGAAGUAAUGGAUAUUCUUUCUAGGUUGAGUGAGGUGGUAUGUCCCACUUGGAACAGCUUUUGGUCAAGUUCAAUGAAAAUUUGGAGGAAUCAUAGGAAUUAAAGUUUGCUACUUGGGGAUUUUCUCUUCUUUUUAAAAACAUUUAUUUGUAGAUCGACAUAAUACCUUUAUCUAUCUAUCUAUCUAUCUAUCUAUCUAUCUAUCUAUCUAUUUAUUUUUAUGUGGUGCUGAGGAUCACAUUUUAAGAGAGAAACAAACUGGAUAUGAAUGGCACAGCUUCUCCAGAUGCUGGUGAAUAGUAAUGCGGUAACCAUUAGAAUUCACCCAUAAUGUAUAACUACUUCUGUAAAUGCAAAACUGUGAAAUGCCUUUUGAAAAAACAAUAGAUUUAUUAUUAAUCUUAAGAUUUUCUAUAAUAUUUUGAGAAGAGGGAAAAUUUUUUCCCUCUUACUGUGUUAGUUACAAUGUAAUGGCAAUAACAGUGAGUCAGAAAAAAGUUUGACAGCAAGAGUAUAUGCUUUUCAAUAUAUACUCUGGAAAGAAUUUGAAUUCUAGCACUCAUGGUGUGUGGUGUGUGUGUGCGUGUGUAUACAUAUAAUAACCUGUGUGUUAUUAUAUGUUUAAUAGCUUAGCUGCUUCUGCUGAUUAUAUAUAUUACAUCAUUGGUGUCUGCUAACUUAUCAUCUUUUCUUUUCUUUUGCAGUACUGGGAUUGAACCCGGAGCCUUGCACAUGCUAGCAAAGUUCUCUAUCUUAGAGCCAUACUUCUAUUCCCCAAUGUUUCCUUUGAUCACCAGUUGGGGCAUGGCAAAGUCAUUGGAACACCACUUCAUUGAUGGCAAAAUGGAGUGGAGCUAUUCACCCUUGUCAUCAGAGAUCCCAGUAAUGGUGGGCCCUCAAUAAACUUGUGAGUGAAUAAAGCAUAUCUUCCUGAAACUAUA
This 7238-nucleotide long non-coding RNA is filed under the name Marmota monax (woodchuck). The record is from RNAcentral. Lineage: Eukaryota; Metazoa; Chordata; Mammalia; Rodentia; Sciuridae.